RNAcentral lists this transfer-messenger RNA (338 nucleotides) under uncultured Butyrivibrio sp. It matches the Rfam family "transfer-messenger RNA". From Rfam's summary of the family: Bacterial tmRNA, also known as 10Sa RNA or SsrA, is named for its dual tRNA and mRNA-like properties. Its role is to liberate the mRNA from a stalled ribosome. To accomplish this part of the tmRNA is used as a reading frame that ends in a translation stop signal. The record is from RNAcentral. Lineage: Bacteria; Bacillati; Bacillota; Clostridia; Lachnospirales; Lachnospiraceae.
GGGCUUGUAAUGGUUUCGACGGGGAUUUUGAAUUCGGAGAAGCAAGUCGUAUGGUAAUGCGUUAAAUUCCAAAUUAAACUAAACGCUAACGAUAAUUUAGCAAUCGCUGCCUAAUGGCAGCUGUCGGCUCUGAUGCACCUGCACAUCAGUGAUCCGGCAUCGACUUUGCAGGAAACGACACGCGCAAAGCUUUGAGCGCGCGGGCGUAUCAUGAAGCUACCAAAGGGCUGAUUGUGUCUGUUCAAGCUGUCCGGCGGGAAUUUCAGAAAACAGACUAGACUUGUAGAAGUACGAUGGAUAGGUUUUCGGACGCGGGUUCGACUCCCGCCAGGUCCACU